RNAcentral lists this ribosomal RNA (253 nucleotides) under uncultured bacterium. RNAcentral describes it as "partial 16S ribosomal RNA". It matches the Rfam family "Bacterial small subunit ribosomal RNA", at positions 524 to 776 of the family's 1533-position model. The record is from RNAcentral.
UACGAGGGGGCAAGCGGUUGUUCGGAUUUAUUGGGCGUAAAGGGUGCGUAGGCGGUUUGGCAAGUCUUGUGUGAAAUCUUUGGGCUCAACCCAAAGUCUGCAUAAGAAACUGCCGGGCUUGAGUAUGGGAGAGGUGAGUGGAAUUCCCAGUGUAGCGGUGAAAUGCGUAGAUAUUGGGAGGAACACCAGUGGCGAAGGCGGCUCACUGGACCGGUACUGACGCUGAUGCGCGAAAGCGUGGGGAGCAAACGGG